GUCACCCCAGACCUAUCCACACCAGACCCAAGGUCGUAUCCAGUCCUCCCCCAGGUGUCUGGUGGGAGGAACACUAUCUUCAGUGGUCUGGGUCCAACUCCAUUCCCUGAGAUUUGUGACUGUGAGCUGUGAGUGACACUGUGCCAUUGCUGUCUCCACCCACCACAGGAGCAUCAGAGCCUCUACUGUGUGGUGAUCUCAGCCAGCAGGGCCAGAUGGGGCAAGGCCAUCCUGAUUCCCACUCCUGUUCCUCCUCCCUCCUGUUAACCAGUGCUGGAUCCAUGCUUCCAGGACAUAUCUGCAAGGACAGAGUCUGCCCAGCUGGACUGCAGUGGAGAUAUACUGGCCAAGCAGCCUGACUGUGCACCAGAAACUUCAGACUUUGCAUCUUUUGACAUAGAAAUUAUAUUUCUACAUAGUUCUAGGAAGACAAGGGAAGUCAGAAAGAGACAUAUGCAAAGAUGCUGUCUUAACCAUUCCUGCUGCUAUAAUAAAU
Molecule: long non-coding RNA, 496 nt
Filed under: Marmota monax (woodchuck)
Lineage: Eukaryota; Metazoa; Chordata; Mammalia; Rodentia; Sciuridae
Source: RNAcentral